Copromyces sp. CBS 386.78 is the source of this 89-nucleotide non-coding RNA. NCBI's taxonomy places the organism in Eukaryota, Fungi, Ascomycota, Sordariomycetes, Sordariales, Sordariaceae. The record is from the annotation of a GenBank genome assembly.
GGGCAAUUGGUCUAGGGGUAUGAUUUUCGCUUCGCAUUCCACAGAUGCGCCUUUGUGAAAGGUCACCGGUUCGAAUCCGGUAUUGUCCA